CAGAGUUUUCUAACUCCCAAACCCAUGUGAACUUACCAUUGUUGCCUCGGCGGAGCCUACCCUGUAGCUACCCUGUAGGGUGGUUACCCUGUAGCGCCCCGCCGGCGGAUUUUCAAACUCUUGUUUUCAGUUGUAUCUCUGAGAAUAAAACAAAUAAGUCA
Molecule: unclassified non-coding RNA, 161 nt
Filed under: uncultured Beltraniella
Lineage: Eukaryota; Fungi; Ascomycota; Sordariomycetes; Amphisphaeriales; Hyponectriaceae
Description: sequence contains ITS1
Source: RNAcentral